AUUGAACGCUGGCGGCAUGCCUUACACAUGCCAGUCGAACGGCAGCACGGGAGCAAUCCUGGUGGCGAGUGGCGAACGGGUGAGUAAUACAUCGGAACGUGCCCAGUAGUGGGGGAUAACCCGGCGAAAGCCGGACUAAUACCGCAUACGACCCACGGGUGAAAGCGGGGGAUCGCAAGACCUCGCGCUAUCGGAGCGGCCGAUGUCAGAUUAGCUAGUUGGUGGGGUAAAGGCCUACCAAGGCGACGAUCUGUAGCUGGUCUGAGAGGACGACCAGCCACACUGGGACUGAGACACGGCCCAGACUCCUACGGGAGGCAGCAGUGGGGAAUUUUGGACAAUGGGCGCAAGCCUGAUCCAGCCAUGCCGCGUGCGGGAAGAAGGCCUUCGGGUUGUAAACCGCUUUUGUCAGGGAAGAAACGCUCCGGGCUAAUACCACGGAGUAAUGACGGUACCUGAAGAAUAAGCACCGGCUAACUACGUG
RNAcentral lists this ribosomal RNA (484 nucleotides) under uncultured bacterium. Its description in RNAcentral is "partial 16S ribosomal RNA". It matches the Rfam family "Bacterial small subunit ribosomal RNA", at positions 29 to 507 of the family's 1533-position model. The record is from RNAcentral.